RNAcentral lists this ribosomal RNA (468 nucleotides) under uncultured bacterium. RNAcentral describes it as "partial 16S ribosomal RNA". It matches the Rfam family "Bacterial small subunit ribosomal RNA", at positions 28 to 507 of the family's 1533-position model. The record is from RNAcentral.
GACGAACGCUGGCGGCGUGCUUAACACAUGCAAGUCGAACGGAAAGACCCUGCUUUUGUGGGGUGCUCGAGUGGCGAACGGGUGAGUAACACGUGAGUAACCUGCCCUUGACUUUGGGAUAACUUCAGGAAACUGGGGCUAAUACCGGAUAGGAGCUCCUGCUGCAUGGUGGGGGUUGGAAAGUUUCGGCGGUUGGGGAUGGACUCGCGGCUUAUCAGCUUGUUGGUGGGGUAGUGGCUUACCAAGGCUUUGACGGGUAGCCGGCCUGAGAGGGUGACCGGCCACAUUGGGACUGAGAUACGGCUCAGACUCCUACGGGAGGCAGCAGUGGGGAAUAUUGCACAAUGGGCGGAAGCCUGAUGCAGCAACGCCGCGUGCGGGAUGACGGCCUUCGGGUUGUAAACCGCUUUCGCCUGUGACGAAGCGUGAGUGACGGUAAUGGGUAAAGAAGCACCGGCUAACUACGUG